This 314-nucleotide small nuclear RNA is filed under the name Erinaceus europaeus (western European hedgehog). RNAcentral describes it as "7SK RNA (ENSEEUG00000020318.1)". It matches the Rfam family "7SK RNA". Rfam says of the family: 7SK was discovered as an abundant small nuclear RNA in the mid-70s but a possible function has only recently been suggested. Two independent studies have found that 7SK RNA binds the CDK9/cyclin T complex (known as elongation factor P-TEFb). P-TEFb activates transcription by phosphorylating the C-terminal domain of RNA polymerase II. Lineage: Eukaryota; Metazoa; Chordata; Mammalia; Eulipotyphla; Erinaceidae. The record is from RNAcentral.
GGAGGGCAAUCUGGCUGUGGCAUCUGCCACCCCAUUGAUCACCAGGAUUGAUUCAGCUGAUCUGGCUGACUAGGUGAGUGUCCCCUUCCUCCUUCACUGCUCCAUGUGUGUCCCACCCAAGCUUCCUGCUCUGUCGAAGAGGACGGCCUUCCCCGAAUAGAGAUGGACAAACUUUGGUUGAGGGGUUGAGGGUAUAUGAGUAGCUGCACUCCCCUGCUAGAACCUUUAAACAAACUCUCAAGAAUAGGAAGACUUCCAAUGAGAGGGGAUGGGAUAUGGCACUCUGGUAGUGAGAACUGUACCCCUCUUAUACC